RNAcentral lists this ribosomal RNA (1334 nucleotides) under uncultured bacterium. Its description in RNAcentral is "bacterial SSU rRNA". It matches the Rfam family "Bacterial small subunit ribosomal RNA", at positions 28 to 1381 of the family's 1533-position model. The record is from RNAcentral.
AUUGAACGCUGGCGGCAGGCUUAACACAUGCAAGUCGAACGAUGAAGUCUAGCUUGCUAGACGGAUUAGUGGCGAACGGGUGAGUAAUGCUUAGGAAUCUGCCUAUUAGUGGGGGAUAACGUAGGGAAACUUACGCUAAUACCGCAUACGACCUACGGGUGAAAGGGGGCUUUUAGCUCUCGCUAAUAGAUGAGCCUAAGUCGGAUUAGCUAGUUGGUGGGGUAAAGGCCUACCAAGGCGACGAUCUGUAGCUGGUCUGAGAGGAUGAUCAGCCACAUUGGGACUGAGAUACGGCCCAGACUCCUACGGGAGGCAGCAGUGGGGAAUAUUGCACAAUGGGCGCAAGCCUGAUGCAGCGACGCCGCGUGGGGGAUGACGGCCUUCGGGUUGUAAACUCCUUUCGCCAGGGACGAAGCGUUUUGUGACGGUACCUGGAGAAGAAGCACCGGCUAACUACGUGCCAGCAGCCGCGGUAAUACGUAGGGUGCAAGCGUUGUCCGGAAUUACUGGGCGUAAAGAGCUCGUAGGUGGUUUGUCACGUCGUCUGUGAAAUUCCACAGCUUAACUGUGGGCGUGCAGGCGAUACGGGCUGACUUGAGUACUGUAGAGGUAACUGGAAUUCCUGGUGUAGCGGUGAAAUGCGCAGAUAUCAGGAGGAACACCGAUGGCGAAGGCAGGUUACUGGGCAGUUACUGACGCUGAGGAGCGAAAGCAUGGGUAGCAAACAGGAUUAGAUACCCUGGUAGUCCAUGCCGUAAACGGUGGGCGCUAGGUGUAGGGACCUUUUGGGGUUUCUGUGCCGUAGCUAACGCAUUAAGCGCCCCGCCUGGGGAGUACGGCCGCAAGGCUAAAACUCAAAGGAAUCGACGGGGGCCCGCACAAGCGGCGGAGCAUGUGGAUUAAUUCGAUGCAACGCGAAGAACCUUACCUGGGCUUGACAUACACUGGAUCGCUGCAGAGAUGUAGUUUCCCUUGUGGCUAGUGUACAGGUGGUGCAUGGCUGUCGUCAGCUCGUGUCGUGAGAUGUUGGGUUAAGUCCCGCAACGAGCGCAACCCUUGUCUUAUGUUGCCAGCACGUUAUGGUGGGGACUCAUGAGAGACUGCCGGGGUUAACUCGGAGGAAGGUGGGGACGACGUCAAGUCAUCAUGCCCCUUAUGUCCAGGGCUUCACACAUGCUACAAUGGCCGGUACAAUGCGCAGCGAGCCUGUGAGGGUGAGCUAAUCGCUUAAAGCUGGUCUUAGUUCGGAUUGGGGUCUGCAACUCGACCCCAUGAAGUCGGAGUCGCUAGUAAUCGCAGAUCAGCAAUGCUGCGGUGAAUACGUUCCCGGGCCU